UCCCUCGUGAAGGUGGAAUCUGCAGGAAUCCGGCGGCAAAGCCUCGGUCUGAGGAACACGAACUUUGUUUCCAUUGCAUUUUGAGAAGCAAAAUCUACGUCCCUUUGCUUCGUCCAUUUGCUUCUUCGAGUAUGGUUCGCUGUCACACGAAUGGAAAGUAAAAAUG
Non-coding RNA from Sporomusa sphaeroides DSM 2875, 166 nucleotides. NCBI's taxonomy places the organism in Bacteria, Bacillati, Bacillota, Negativicutes, Selenomonadales, Sporomusaceae. The record is from Rfam.